UGGAUCCAGACUUUGAUUCUGGCUCAGGACGAACGCUGGCGGCGCGCCUAACACAUGCAAGUCGAACGAGAGAGAAGGAGCUUGCUUCUUCGAUCGAGUGGCGAACGGGUGAGUAACGCGUGAGGAACCUGGCUCAAAGAGGGGGACAACAGUUGGAAACGACUGCUAAUACCGCAUAAGCCCACGGGUCGGCAUCGACCUGAGGGAAAAGGAGCAAUCCGCUUUGAGAUGGCCUCGCGUCCGAUUAGCUAGUUGGUGAGGUAACGGCCCACCAAGGCGACGAUCGGUAGCCGGACUGAGAGGUUGAACGGCCACAUUGGGACUGAGACACGGCCCAGACUCCUACGGGAGGCAGCAGUGGGGAAUAUUGCACAAUGGGGGAAACCCUGAUGCAGCGACGCCGCGUGGAGGAAGAAGGUCUUCGGAUUGUAAACUCCUGUUGUUGAGGAAGAUAAUGACGGUACUCAACAAGGAAGUGACGGCUAACUACGUGCCAGCAGCCGCGGUAAAACGUAGGUCGCAAGCGUUGUCCGGAAUUACUGGGUGUAAAGGGAGCGCAGGCGGGAAGACAAGUUGGAAGUGAAAUCUAUGGGCUCAACCCAUAAACUGCUUUCAAAACUGUUUUUCUUGAGUAGUGCAGAGGUAGGCGGAAUUCCCGGUGUAGCGGUGGAAUGCGUAGAUAUCGGGAGGAACACCAGUGGCGAAGGCGGCCUACUGGGCACCAACUGACGCUGAGGCUCGAAAGUGUGGGUAGCAAACAGGAUUAGAUACCCUGGAAGUCCACACCGUAAACGAUGAUUACUAGGUGUUGGAGGAUUGACCCCUUCAGUGCCGCAGUUAACACAAUAAGUAAUCCACCUGGGGAGUACGACCGCAAGGUUGCAACUCAAAUGAAU
This 896-nucleotide ribosomal RNA is filed under the name uncultured Bacillota bacterium. RNAcentral's name for it is "bacterial SSU rRNA". It matches the Rfam family "Bacterial small subunit ribosomal RNA", at positions 1 to 910 of the family's 1533-position model. The record is from RNAcentral. Lineage: Bacteria; Bacillati; Bacillota.